RNAcentral lists this long non-coding RNA (942 nucleotides) under Medicago truncatula (barrel medic). RNAcentral's name for it is "lncRNA gene47093". The record is from RNAcentral. Lineage: Eukaryota; Viridiplantae; Streptophyta; Magnoliopsida; Fabales; Fabaceae.
GUGGUGAUGUGGUUAAUGAAUCUGCAUCCAUGAAAGCUAAGCGUGAUGCUCUUCAUAGAAAGGUGUUGCUUCUAUGAUUGUUGCUGAGGAGUAUGCAAGGAGGCUUGAAUCUGGCAAUGUUGUUCUGAGUUUUGUUUAAUUCUGGUUUUGGAUUAGAACCAUAAUUAUGUAAAAUUUUGAUGUGCGAUUUGUGGAGUUAUGCUUAAUGUUGUUGCUGAUUUUAGUGUUGUCAAUUGCAGAUUGUGAUAAAUAGUGGUUUGUUCUAAUUCUUCUAUACAACGGUGAAAUUGUGAUAUGUGAUGGUGGAAUUGAUGUAUCUGUGUAUGAUAAUUGAGUUGUGGAGUUGUGGAUUAAUGUUGUUGUUGAUUUCAGUGUUGUCUGUUGUGAAUUGCUUGUGGAUUAAUGGGUAUUCCACAAGUUUUUGAAUUUUGCUUAUUAUUGUUGUUGCUGCAGCUGUUGUUAUUGUUGGCCAUGAAGAAAUUGUUGAUGUUGUUGUUGGAGAUAGAGGUUUAGAUUGAGACUGGAUUGGAUUUGGGGAUUGAAAUUGAGGCUAGGAUUGGAAUCUGGGGAUGAAGAAGAACAUAAGGAAGAAGAUGGAGGAAAAAAUUUGGUGUUUGUGGUUCAUUAUAAGCUACGAUAGAUCCCUCCUUGAUCCAACGGUCUCCAUUUAAAAAAAUAUCAAAUGGUUAAAAACAUGUGAUUUAAUAAAGUCUAUGGUGGACCAUCUAUAAAGUUGGUUCACCUUAGAAAUUUAAGGUUAAAAACUAACGGAGAGGACCAAAAUGAUAAACCGCAGAAGACUUAUGGGACCAAAUUGAAACACUUUAUAGUUAGAGGACCAAAUUGAAAUUCAAAAAUAAGUUAAGGGACCAAAGGAUGUAUUAAAAGAGGACCGUUGAAUUAUGAAGGGCCAUUGUAUGUUACAAUAGGCUAAUAUUUUUC